GCGGAAGUGGCUCCGUGGUAGAGCAUCGCCUUGCCAAGGCGAGGGUCGCGGGUUCGAAUCCCGUCUUCCGCUCCA
This 75-nucleotide transfer RNA is filed under the name Bacillota bacterium. RNAcentral's name for it is "Firmicutes bacterium (anaerobic digester metagenome) tRNA-Gly". It matches the Rfam family "tRNA". Rfam says of the family: Transfer RNA (tRNA) molecules are approximately 80 nucleotides in length. Their secondary structure includes four short double-helical elements and three loops (D, anti-codon, and T loops). Further hydrogen bonds mediate the characteristic L-shaped molecular structure. tRNAs have two regions of fundamental functional importance: the anti-codon, which is responsible for specific mRNA codon recognition, and the 3' end, to which the tRNAs corresponding amino acid is attached (by aminoacyl-tRNA synthetases). tRNAs cope with the degeneracy of the genetic code in two manners: having more than one tRNA (with a specific anti-codon) for a particular amino acid; and 'wobble' base-pairing, i.e. permitting non-standard base-pairing at the 3rd anti-codon position. Lineage: Bacteria; Bacillati; Bacillota. The record is from RNAcentral.